This 159-nucleotide small nuclear RNA is filed under the name Rosellinia necatrix. The record is from RNAcentral. Lineage: Eukaryota; Fungi; Ascomycota; Sordariomycetes; Xylariales; Xylariaceae.
GCCUUCGGGCAUUUGGUCAAUUUGAAACGAUACAGAGAAGAUGUGAGUAAUCCCCAACGACACCAGUUCGAAUCGGUAUGCAAGUACUAACUUCAUUGCAGUAGCAUGGCCCCUGCACUAAGGAUGACACAUGUAAUCAAAGAGAAGCAAACCAUUUUU